UUUAUAUGAGAGUUUGAUCCUGGCUCAGGAUGAACGCUGGCGGCGUGCCUAAUACAUGCAAGUCGAACGAGUUCUCGUUGAUGAUCGGUGCUUGCACCGAGAUUCAACAUGGAACGAGUGGCGGACGGGUGAGUAACACGUGGGUAACCUGCCCUUAAGUGGGGGAUAACAUUUGGAAACAGAUGCUAAUACCGCAUAGAUCCAAGAACCGCAUGGUUCUUGGCUGAAAGAUGGCGUAAGCUAUCGCUUUUGGAUGGACCCGCGGCGUAUUAGCUAGUUGGUGAGGUAACGGCUCACCAAGGCGMUGAKACKGCCAAGG
Molecule: ribosomal RNA, 319 nt
Filed under: Lacticaseibacillus paracasei
Lineage: Bacteria; Bacillati; Bacillota; Bacilli; Lactobacillales; Lactobacillaceae
Description: bacterial SSU rRNA
Rfam family: Bacterial small subunit ribosomal RNA
Source: RNAcentral